This 253-nucleotide ribosomal RNA is filed under the name uncultured bacterium. RNAcentral's name for it is "partial 16S ribosomal RNA". It matches the Rfam family "Bacterial small subunit ribosomal RNA", at positions 524 to 776 of the family's 1533-position model. The record is from RNAcentral.
UACGUAGGGUGCAAGCGUUAAUCGGAAUUACUGGGCGUAAAGCGUGCGCAGGCGGUGAUGUAAGACAGGUGUGAAAUCCCCGGGCUUAACCUUGGAACUGCAUUUGUGACUGCAUAGCUAGAGUACGGUAGAGGGGGAUGGAAUUCCGCGUGUAGCAGUGAAAUGCGUAGAUAUGCGGAGGAACACCGAUGGCGAAGGCAAUCCCCUGGACCUGUACUGACGCUCAUGCACGAAAGCGUGGGGAGCAAACAGG